AGCGUCUCCACAGCAAGAUUCCAAGCAAAGAUCCCUAUGAUUCAGAUAGCUUGGAGCAGAGCUUCUACGGGAUAAAUGUGGUUUUUUUCUGACUCAUAGGAAUCAUCACUCCAACAAAACCUUCACUGGGUAUGUGCUGUUAAUAGAAUGACUAUGUCCAUUCCUAGUCAUACUAAAUACUCUUUUCCUGGAGGGAAGGAAGGAAAAAAAGGAACAGGUAACGAGACAUCUCCUCUGCCCCAGGUCUCCCUUCUGACGGUGCAAUAUUGCUACAAGCCUUCAUUUCCACAUCCGGGGAAAGGAGCAGUCGUAAGGCAGUCUCCAAUCAGUAACCAGCCCUAAAUAGGAGAGAGGAAGGGGCCAGAUAGAAGAAGUCCAUGAGUGAAGUGACAUCCACAGAAGCUAAAAAAACAAGUGGAAAGAAAUGCCCCCAUGGUGAGUUGUUACCUAAUAUCUGGCUUUCUAAAGAGUGAUUACUUGGGUUAUCUUUCUUAUCUUCAUAACUGUGUUAGUUGUUAAACUCAC
RNAcentral lists this long non-coding RNA (525 nucleotides) under Sus scrofa (pig). RNAcentral describes it as "lncRNA (ENSSSCG00070026444.1)". The record is from RNAcentral. Lineage: Eukaryota; Metazoa; Chordata; Mammalia; Artiodactyla; Suidae.